RNAcentral lists this small nucleolar RNA (214 nucleotides) under Pelusios castaneus (West African mud turtle). RNAcentral describes it as "Small nucleolar RNA U3 (ENSPCEG00000000984.1)". It matches the Rfam family "Small nucleolar RNA U3". Rfam says of the family: Small nucleolar RNAs (snoRNAs) are involved in the processing and modification of rRNA in the nucleolus. There are two main classes of snoRNAs: the box C/D class, and the box H/ACA class. U3 snoRNA is a member of the box C/D class. Lineage: Eukaryota; Metazoa; Chordata; Testudines; Pelomedusidae. The record is from Rfam by way of RNAcentral.
AAGACUGUGCUUUCAAGGAUCAUUUCUAUAGUUGGUGAUUGGAGAAGGGUCUGUAUGAAAAGCUGGUCUUGCUAACCAUGAUGAAGAGUUAUAGUGUUUCCUUUUAAGCAUGAUAGUAGCAGACAGUGCUGGUCUGUACCAGUUACUUUCUGCUGUAGAGGAUUGUCCUGUUUUUCAUCAGAAAAGCAGGGGAAGGAACCACAGUCUGAGUGGU